AGGGUGACAGGGACCCAGCUGAUGCGAGCAAGUGGAUUCCAGCCGAUCGGAGAUAUUGGGGUUCAACUAUUAAAAGGCAAGAGAGUCUUGAUCGGCGAAGAUAUUGCGAGACAAUGGAUGUAGAGUUGGUCGAGGGAGGACAAAUUCGUUUUCGACUCUUGUACCAGUCGUUUUAUUUAGACAAGUUUGUUUCUUUAGUUACAUAUAUUGUAUUGCAUCAUAAUCGACUAGGACUAGGAGUCUUGAGUUUACGAUAUAAAUAGAGACCUUGCGAGGUCUGAAAAACAUGUACACACAAACAGACAAAUCUACUUUAUUUGUAAUUUACUUUCAAGUCGGCGACUUCGCCAAAGUUCUCUUUUUCUUCACGAGUUCUUCCAAGCUAGCAGAGCUGAAUCAUCUUGAUCUACGGCUGGAUUGUAAGUUCCGUGUAUAUCGAGUAAUUUCUAGGCUUUAACUUCUGGUGCAUCGCUGUUGUUUUGUCUAGAUUUAUUCAUCAAGUUAUCGAUAUUUGCUAGAUCUGCAAGUUUAUUUGAUUAAAUCUUGUUGCUUUAGCUUCUAUCACCACUAUCCAGCUUGGAAUAGAUUCUGAUCGGUUUCUUAUCCUGUUUUUCAAUCAAGGAGUGUUCUAUAGCCGAUUAGAUGUAUUUCAAGCAUUGUUCGCGUAGCAUUGUUUAGGUUGCGUUUCAACAGUUCAUUUGCAUUGAUUACACAUACAUCGGCUAACCUAGCCGAUCAUCUUUUUCUAUAUCGGCUACCCGACCGUUACGAUCUCCUAGAGCUAAUCGGAACAUCAGCCGAUUCACUCUCGAAUUUAACGUCUUCUUUUCCCUUGUCAAUUAGCAGGUCAAAUUGACUGGCACGCCUUGGAUCGAGAGGGUUA
Molecule: long non-coding RNA, 883 nt
Filed under: Setaria viridis
Lineage: Eukaryota; Viridiplantae; Streptophyta; Magnoliopsida; Poales; Poaceae
Description: long non-coding RNA (SVIR_LNC003272)
Source: RNAcentral